This 400-nucleotide unclassified non-coding RNA is filed under the name soil metagenome. Its description in RNAcentral is "partial contains 5.8S ribosomal RNA, internal transcribed spacer 2, and large subunit ribosomal RNA". The stretch from base 1 to 122 matches the Rfam family "5.8S ribosomal RNA", at positions 35 to 154 of the family's 154-position model. The record is from RNAcentral.
GAUGAAGAACGUAGCGAAAUGCGAUACUUGGUGUGAAUUGCAGAAUCCCGUGAACCAUCGAGUCUUUGAACGCAAGUUGCGCCUCAAGCCAUUAGGUUGAGGGCACGUCUGCCUGGGCGUCACAUAUCGUUGCCUGAUGCCAGUUUCCUCGUGAUGGGUGACUGUGCAGGGCGAAUGAUGGCUUCCCGUGAGCAUUGUUGCCUCAUGGUUGGUUGAAAAUUGAGUCCUUGGUAUGGAGCGCCGUGAUAGAUGGUGGUUGAGUGACGAACGAGACCCAAUCAUGUGAGACCCCUACCGAAUUUGGCCUUCAUGACCCACAUGCGUCUUUGGAACGCUCAUGACGAGACCUCAGGUCAGGCGGGGCUACCCGCUGAGUUUAAGCAUAUCAAUAAGCGGAGGA